This 540-nucleotide long non-coding RNA is filed under the name Amborella trichopoda. RNAcentral describes it as "long non-coding RNA (ATRI_LNC005066)". Lineage: Eukaryota; Viridiplantae; Streptophyta; Magnoliopsida; Amborellales; Amborellaceae. The record is from RNAcentral.
ACCUUAUUGAGAAUCGACCAUUGGGGUUGAGCUUCCAGAUAAUAUAGUCAUCUCUGUAUGGAAAACAGCAAAAAGAAUUGAGCUGCUGCAGCAAGGCAAAAAACUGGCAUUCCAUGGCUUCGUCAACCCUUCUCACCAUCAAGCUAAUCUUCCAAAUACAGUUUAGACCCUGACCUUCGACCAUCUCAAAGAUCAAAGCGUGUUUAGCAUCAGCCCACCGAUAGAUGUUCGGAAAUUGGAUUCUAAGGGGAACAUCACCUAGCACCAGUGGCCAAACCAUAAUUUAGUGCAGAAGCCAUUCCCCACCUUCAUUCUACUAUAAAAUAGAAAGAGAGAUCGAACCGAAUUAAUCCGUUUCCACAUCAUAGUAUGCUUUCUGCACACUCAUUCAAUAAAAGUUUUUAACCUUGUCAAAAUUUUGUUCAUUUAUUUUAUGAAAAGCAUUUUGUGUUCAAAGGUAGUUAAGAGUGGGUCCUUAGAAUGUAUUAAAAUUUAGGAGUUUAUUUUUAUAUUUUAUGGAUUAGAUGUGGGACAUGUAAG